Long non-coding RNA from Strigops habroptila (Kakapo), 1372 nucleotides. RefSeq lists it as uncharacterized. The record is from RefSeq and is a predicted model, not a curated record. The transcript is spliced from 3 exons. Lineage: Eukaryota; Metazoa; Chordata; Aves; Psittaciformes; Psittacidae.
UUUAACAAUAUAUGAGCAUUUAUGCUCCUGGAGACCAUUCAAGCUGUAGUCAAAGCUUUGGUGUUCUGUGUUUUAGCCUCUUGGUUACGAAUAAGUGAAUGUUGCUGAUGUGGUAGGGGCUGGUAUUCUCAGGAAAACAAGCCUGAAACACCUCCAUAUCAUUGUGCUGCUUUUGCUCCUGAAGGAAUCACACUCGUAUCCUCAUCUUUUUUCUGCCUUUUUUUUUUUUUUGUAGCUUUCUGCAGGAUCUUUGAAGAACGAUUUCAGCCUGAAAUGAACCAUCUUCAACUUGUGUUGCUGGUGGAAGGAGGACUCCAGGCAUCCCACAGACUUCACACCAGAAAAUGAUCACUACUACAAAGGAGAAGUUUGCCAGCAGUUUGUUACCGGAGUGCUGUCUAACAUCAGCAUGGAAGGGUGAGCAAGACUACAUCAGCCCAUUUCCAGGUCCUCAAGAGGCCAGUGUCAAGCCACGCACGAUGCAGAAAGGGCUCCCACUCAGACACAAAUGACUGUUUUCAGUCUUAAACUACGACCACAAAGUUGCUAAGAAGACACUUUCAGUAGCUGUGAAAGCCUUUCAUAUAACCUUCAGCUUUAUUCAGCUCCUGCACAAAUAAAACAGAAUGGCAGAGAAGAUGAGAAAAAUCAUAUUUACGAGAGAAAAAAAAAAUAACUUACUUUGGGAUUUUAUUUCAUGAAGAGGUUUUUUAUCUGAGAGAGAGAGAGAGAGAGAAAGUUGCACUUAAUAAAUUUACAUGGAGCAUUAUCUGUUUCCUCUAUCGCUUCUGUGUAGCUCUAGACAUGAAACAUCGUCUCCUUGUUUGCUGACAAUAUGAAUAUUUUAUGUUGUCCAUAUUUUUACCUUCAUUUUUUUUUCCCCUUUCUUUUUUUCUAAAUCUCUUUCAGGAUGAUUUGAUGUUUCUUUGCAGUAAUUUCUCCCUUGGUUAAUUCAGGUAUUUGCUAGUUUUAUUGGGUGCUUUGAUUGGGAAUAUUAUACAGCAGUAAGGGAAGUUCAGUACUUUGAAGCAGCUCAUGUGGCAAAGAAAGUCAGUUAAGAAUUAAUUAUUUCUUUAUGUGUUUGAUAGAUGGAAAGGUGAUGGACAAUUAAACAGGUAAUUUAUAAAAUAUAAACAUGUACAAUAUAUUCACGUUUAUGUAUCUAAAUAUGGCAUCUAUAAUUUAAUAUAUAAUAACGGCAUCUAUAUGUGUAUAAAAACAACACACAGAUCAAUAACUACCACCGCACAUGCAAUUAUAUUUGAGUUCUAAGGAAAUUCCCUUUGAGUUGUUCCCCAAUUUAUCUUUUGGAUGUUUCUGGAUGAAGGAUCUGGGACUGGCUUCCUCAGGGGUGGGUUAUCAGCACAACCAC